CCUACGGGAGGCAGCAGUGAGGAAUAUUGGUCAAUGGGCGGAAGCCUGAACCAGCCAAGUAGCGUGCAGGAUGACGGCCCUACGGGUUGUAAACUGCUUUUAUACGGGAAUAACGCGCCUUACGUGUAGGGCUUUGCAUGUGCCGUAUGAAUAAGGACCGGCUAAUUCCGUGCCAGCAGCCGCGGUAAUACGGAAGGUCCGGGCGUUAUCCGGAUUUAUUGGGUUUAAAGGGAGCGUAGGCCGCAUGUCAAGCGUGCUGUGAAAUGUCCGGGCUCAACCCGGGCCUUGCAGUGCGAACUGGCGGGAUGGAGUCGGAGAAAAGCAGGCGGAAUGCGUGGUGUAGCGGUGAAAUGCUUAG
This 358-nucleotide ribosomal RNA is filed under the name uncultured bacterium. Its description in RNAcentral is "partial 16S ribosomal RNA". It matches the Rfam family "Bacterial small subunit ribosomal RNA", at positions 338 to 693 of the family's 1533-position model. The record is from RNAcentral.